This 253-nucleotide ribosomal RNA is filed under the name uncultured bacterium. RNAcentral's name for it is "partial 16S ribosomal RNA". It matches the Rfam family "Bacterial small subunit ribosomal RNA", at positions 524 to 776 of the family's 1533-position model. The record is from RNAcentral.
UACAGAGGUCUCAAGCGUUGUUCGGAUUCAUUGGGCGUAAAGGGUGCGUAGGCGGCGCGGUAAGUCGGGUGUGCAAUCCCGGAGCUUAACUCCGGAACUGCCUUUGAUACUACAAGGCUUGAGUAUGGAAGAGGUUGAUGGAAUUUCGGGUGUAGCAGUGAAAUGCGUAGAUAUCCGAAAGAACACCAGUGGCGAAGGCGGUCAACUGGUCCAUUACUGACACUAAAGCACGUAAGCGUGGGUAGCGAACAGG